Molecule: ribosomal RNA, 262 nt
Filed under: uncultured bacterium
Lineage: Bacteria
Description: partial 16S ribosomal RNA
Rfam family: Bacterial small subunit ribosomal RNA
Source: RNAcentral
UUAGUGGCGGACGGGUGAGUAACGCGUGGAAAACCUGCCGUAUACUGGGGGAUAACACUUAGAAAUAGGUGCUAAUACCGCAUAAGCGCACAGCUUCGCAUGAAGCGGUGUGAAAAACUCUGGUGGUAUACGAUGGUUCCGCGUCUGAUUAGCUAGUUGGUGGGGUAAUGGCCUACCAAGGCAACGAUCAGUAGCCGGCCUGAGGGGGUGAACGGCCACAUUGGGACUGAGACACGGCCCAAACUCCUACGGAAGGCAGCAG